UGACAGAGUUAGGAGGGAGUGACUAGUGACGGAGAGAGGGAUGGGGUGACUAGUGACAGUCACCCCCUCCCUCACUCUGUCACUAGUCACUCCCUCUCUCACUCUGUCA
This is a non-coding RNA of Pelobates cultripes (western spadefoot toad), 109 nucleotides long. Lineage: Eukaryota; Metazoa; Chordata; Amphibia; Anura; Pelobatidae. The record is from the annotation of a GenBank genome assembly.